UGCCAGCAGCCGCGGUAAUACAGAGGGUGCAAGCGUUAAUCGGAAUCACUGGGCGUAAAGGGUGCGUAGGCGGAAUGAUAAGUUUCAUGUGAAAUGCCCGGGCUCAACCUGGGAUGGUCAUGGAAUACUGUUAUUCUAGAGUACAGUAGAGGUUAGUGGAAUUCCCAGUGUAGCGGUGAAAUGCGUAGAUAUUGGGAGGAACACCAGUGGCGAAGGCGGCUGACUGGACUGAUACUGACGCUGAGGCACGAAAGCGUGGUUAGCAAACAGGAUUAGAUA
RNAcentral lists this ribosomal RNA (279 nucleotides) under uncultured bacterium. Its description in RNAcentral is "partial 16S ribosomal RNA". It matches the Rfam family "Bacterial small subunit ribosomal RNA", at positions 506 to 784 of the family's 1533-position model. The record is from RNAcentral.